RNAcentral lists this ribosomal RNA (806 nucleotides) under uncultured bacterium. Its description in RNAcentral is "bacterial SSU rRNA". It matches the Rfam family "Bacterial small subunit ribosomal RNA", at positions 8 to 812 of the family's 1533-position model. The record is from RNAcentral.
AGAGUUUGAUCCUGGCUCAGGAUGAACGCUGGCGGCGUGCUUAACACAUGCAAGUCGAACGAAGCACUUUAUUUGAUUUCCUUCGGGACUGAUUAUUUUGUGACUGAGUGGCGGACGGGUGAGUAACGCGUGGGUAACCUGCCUUAUACAGGGGGAUAACAGUUGGAAACGGCUGCUAAUACCGCAUAAGCGCACGGCAUCGCAUGAUGCAGUGUGAAAAACUCCGGUGGUAUAAGAUGGACCCGCGUUGGAUUAGCUAGUUGGUGAGGUAACGGCCCACCAAGGCGACGAUCCAUAGCCGACCUGAGAGGGUGACCGGCCACAUUGGGACUGAGACACGGCCCAAACUCCUACGGGAGGCAGCAGUGGGGAAUAUUGCACAAUGGGCGAAAGCCUGAUGCAGCGACGCCGCGUGAGCGAAGAAGUAUUUCGGUAUGUAAAGCUCUAUCAGCAGGGAAGAUAAUGACGGUACCUGACUAAGAAGCACCGGCUAAAUACGUGCCAGCAGCCGCGGUAAUACGUAUGGUGCAAGCGUUAUCCGGAUUUACUGGGUGUAAAGGGAGCGCAGGCGGUGCGGCAAGUCUGAUGUGAAAGCCCGGGGCUCAACCCCGGUACUGCAUUGGAAACUGUCGUACUAGAGUGUCGGAGGGGUAAGCGGAAUUCCUAGUGUAGCGGUGAAAUGCGUAGAUAUUAGGAGGAACACCAGUGGCGAAGGCGGCUUACUGGACGAUAACUGACGCUGAGGCUCGAAAGCGUGGGGAGCAAACAGGAUUAGAUACCCUGGUAGUCCACGCCGUAAACGAUGA